This is a long non-coding RNA of Ostrea edulis (European flat oyster), 3434 nucleotides long. RefSeq lists it as uncharacterized. The record is from RefSeq and is a predicted model, not a curated record. The transcript is spliced from 2 exons. NCBI's taxonomy places the organism in Eukaryota, Metazoa, Mollusca, Bivalvia, Ostreida, Ostreidae.
UUCAUUCUUUCUUUAUUUCCUCCCAUGGGAGAUUGCAUGAACAAUUACAGAAAUUACAUCAUUAGAGUAUUACACAUAUUCAUAUAUACAAAGGAAAAGGAUAUGAGAUUUGUACAUAAAAAGAAAGUUGAGUACAAAAUAAGUACAGGCGAUAUAUAGCUAAUUAGAAUUGAACACCGGAAAUGGUGAAAAACCUGCAGUUAUGUAAGACGUAACUGUCUGUUGUAACAUGCUGCUGCAUCCCUCAGGAAGCGGAAGUUCAGAAGAUGCAAGCCGGGUUCGUCAUAAUGGGAAAGAUUAACUGUGAACAUUCUGGCACCUAAUAGAAAAAGAUAUAGAUCUUGAUGACAGAGACCGCAAAGUUCAGCACUGAGCACAAUAUCAAGGUCAAUUACUGUAUUCCACCAAGCAUCUUGGAUAGCGACUGUUCCUACGCAAGUGGUCGAAACGUGUUCAAAAACGUUUGUAAAAUAUUUGCCACAGAUGAGACAAGAUGUCGGAGGAGAGUGUGGAAAGGACCAUAGCUUAGUGAUAAAUUUGCAAAUCUCUAUUUCAUGAAUGUCAGAUGGAAUUUUCCAGAUAGACUGUGGAGGUCGCCCUGCCGUUAUUUUGUUGAAUUGUUGAAAAGAAGGAUCCGAGAGCAUCCGUUUGUGCCUUGAAUCUAGAUGGAAAUCAAUUAUUGCUGUUUUGACGCUUGUUUUCCACAAACUCUUUGGAGGAAAGUAACCAUCUUGCAGAUAGAGUAGAAAAUGCCGGUGGAGGUUAUACUUAUAGAGUAGAUUAAAAACAUCAUGGAUAAAACCAAAAUGUUUGAGUUCCGGAGACUGUAGAAGAAAUCGGAAGAAGUCCAAGUAAGGAUUCACAAAUGUCAGAUCGAGUAACUUUUGGUAAACCCAUUGCAUGCUUGCAAAUGAAGUGCUGUAAGGUAUUAAGGGCCUGCAGAUCUCGUUGGCAUAAAUCGCUCCAGAGUUCACAUCCGUAUAGGGUGGAAGGGAGAACAAUUCUGUUGUACAAACGCGAUACGGUAUCAGGGUUAAGGUGUUCUUGUAUUUUGAGUGCAUAGUAGGCUUGUCGACCUUUCCUACAUGCGUUGGCAAUUUUCUCAGUAUGAACAAGCUUGGAUUGAAGAAGAAUUCCAAGAUGGUUAUAGGUUUUGGAUAGGUAGACAGGUUCAGUGCCGAGAUACCAUAUGGGGGAAGCAUUGUUUUUUGCUGUUGAGGGGGAGAAUCGAACAACACUAGAUUUGUCGGCAUUAAAUUGGAAUCUCCAGUUUUUGGAGUAGACGAACGCUGUAUUGAGAAUCUUCUGGAUGGCAGAAGGCGAUAACGCAAUGCAGGAGAUGUCAUCUGCGAGAGCAGGAGUAGAACUAGCAAUGUUGUAAAUACCCAUGUUCGGACAUUGAUUUUGAAUUUCAUGAAGCAGGUCGUUGAUGAACACCAGAUAGAGGAAAGUAGAAAGUAUCCCUCCUUGGCGUACUCCUUGAGAGACAGGAAACCAGCUGGAAUUUAUGUGAUUCACUACAACAGAACAGGAGGUAUUUAUAUGACAAUCAUCAAUCAGAGUCCACAGACGACCGGAAAUUCCCAGACGGCUAAGUUUACACAUGAGACCGUGUCUCCACACAGUGUCAAAAGCCUUUUGUGUAUCUAGAAAGGCGACAUAUACGGGACUACCCUGUUCAAUAUUAUGAUGUAUAGUUUCUUGUAGGUUGAAAGAUGCUGUAAGACAACCGAGUUUCUGUUGAAAUCCUUGCUGCUGAAUAUUGGGAAAUUCUACAGUUGAAAGAAUGUGCGACUUUAUUCUGUAUAGUAGCAAUUUCUCAAAAAUCUUCAACAUGCAGGGAAGCAGGGCUAUUGGUCGAUAACUGUUGGGUGAUUUCUUUGGUUUAUUGUGUCCUUUGUGUAUGGGGACGAUAAUGUCUUUUUUCCAAGAAGUUGGGAUUUCGCCAAUUUUUAUAAUUGAAUUAAAUAGGUGUUGUAUGCACAGUUUGAGUCCUGUACCGCCAUAAAUGAUAUGUUCACUCUGUAUUCGAUCUAUACCAGGAGCUUUUCUGCGUUUUAAAUCACUAAUAAUAUUAGAAAUUUCAUCAAUAGUGAUGUCUCCACCCGGAAGAGAUUUUUCGUUCAGAAGUUUGGUCACUGUUUUUAAUUCACUAUAAGAAUUUUCAAUAGAACGGAAGAAAUCGUCGUUGAAGGUUCCAAUGUCUUGUGGAUUGUAAAUAUUUUCGAAGUGUUUCGCGAAACAGUUAGCAAUAUCUACAGGGUUUGAGUAGGAAACGUUUUCGGUUUCUAUUUCUGAAUAGAUUCGAGAACUAAGAGGUCGCUGGCGUUUAAUCAGCCUCCAAAAGAGUCGAACAUCACACUCUGAAGCCUCGUCGAUGUCCUUGAAUACUUUAGUCAUGAAGUCAUCAUGUGCUGAUUGCAAUUCAUUACGAAAAUUACGUUUUGCGCGUUUAUAAUUUCUGUAAGAUUCAUGACACAUGCCGCGAGGUCGACCCUCACUUAACCAAAUGUUGCGUUUUUGUCGUUCUGCAUUAUGUAGUUGUUUCACUUUUGGCGUCCAUUCCGGUUUUAAAUAUGGCUUGUACUUCGAUACAGGGAUGUAUUGGGAUGCAGCAUCAUGCAACAGACAGUUAAGAUCUGAACAAAAAUCAUCAGUAUCAUUUACACACUCAAGAUUUCUUUCUAAUAAUGCAACAGAAUCUUUAGAAACAAAACUUUCAUAUUCUCUGAUUUUACACGAAUCAGCCUUAUGCCAAGCCGGUAAAUAUUGAAAAUGAUUAUCUGCAAUUCGGUUUUUAACAUCGAAGUCUAGAACCAUGAAAACAGGAAGGUGAUCUGAUGUACAACUAUGUGAACCUUCCUCAAAAACAUGAUACAGUUCAACAUAUUUACAAAGAGAAUUGCUACAAAAAAUAAAAUCAAGUGUUGACUUUGUUUGGAUAAAAGUAUACUGUGAACCAGUUGAUUCAAAAUCGACUCGGGGACUUCCUAUGUAAUUACGCAUGAUAAAGUCUUUAAGCAAACUCGACUUGUACAUAUUAACUCGACCAGAGUCUAUAUUGUAACAACUAGCGUUAAAGUCACCUCCUACAAUAACAUCCCCUAUGGAAGAAAAAUGUGCUACAAGAUCUUCAAGUAAACCCAUUUCAGCUGCAUAUGACUGGAUUACAUUAUCUGCAGGAAGGUAUGCACCAAAAAUGUACAAAGGGCGGUCACUGGACCGUUUGAUUUUUAGGCCAAUAAUACGUGAUGAAUCAAUGUCUGUUAAUUCACAUAUAGACAGUUUGAGUUCCUUUUUAUACAGAAUGCCAACACCACCCUUACCUAAGUAGCGCGAGAAUUGUGUGCAAAAUCUGUUCUUUUCAGAACUACAUGUAUGUUCUGUGCGUACAAAACUGAGAUAGUUAGGGUGGAUUGAAUCCAUAAAGGAAA